This 274-nucleotide ribosomal RNA is filed under the name uncultured bacterium. RNAcentral describes it as "partial 16S ribosomal RNA". It matches the Rfam family "Bacterial small subunit ribosomal RNA", at positions 523 to 796 of the family's 1533-position model. The record is from RNAcentral.
AUACGAAGGGGGCAAGCGUUGUUCGGAAUAACUGGGCGUAAAGCGCACGUAGGCGGAAUGUUAAGUUAGAGGUGAAAUCCCAGGGCUCAACCCUGGAACGGCCUUUAAUACUGGCAAUCUAGAGACCGAGAGAGGUGAGUGGAAUUCCGAGUGUAGAGGUGAAGUUCGUAGAUAUUCGGAGGAACACCAGUGGCGAAGGCGGCUCACUGGCUCGGUACUGACGCUGAGGUGCGAAAGCGUGGGGAGCAAACAGGAUUAGAAUCCCUUGUAGUCC